GGCGCAACUGAAUAGCGCAUCUGAUUACGGCUCAGAAGGUUACAGGUUUGAAUCCUGUC
This 59-nucleotide transfer RNA is filed under the name Capnocytophaga sp. RNAcentral's name for it is "tRNA-Arg(acg)". It matches the Rfam family "tRNA", at positions 9 to 64 of the family's 71-position model. Rfam says of the family: Transfer RNA (tRNA) molecules are approximately 80 nucleotides in length. The record is from RNAcentral. RNAcentral also lists the same sequence under 2 other names. Lineage: Bacteria; Pseudomonadati; Bacteroidota; Flavobacteriia; Flavobacteriales; Flavobacteriaceae.